This 490-nucleotide ribosomal RNA is filed under the name uncultured bacterium. RNAcentral describes it as "partial 16S ribosomal RNA". It matches the Rfam family "Bacterial small subunit ribosomal RNA", at positions 30 to 507 of the family's 1533-position model. The record is from RNAcentral.
AUUGAACGCUGGCGGCAUGCCUUACACAUGCAAGUCGAACGGCAGCAUGAUCUAGCUUGCUAGAUUGAUGGCGAGUGGCGAACGGGUGAGUAAUACAUCGGAACGUGCCCUGUAGUGGGGGAUAACUAGUCGAAAGAUUAGCUAAUACCGCAUACGACCUGAGGGUGAAAGUGGGGGACCGCAAGGCCUCAUGCUAUAGGAGCGGCCGAUGUCUGAUUAGCUAGUUGGUGAGGUAAAGGCUCACCAAGGCGACGAUCAGUAGCUGGUCUGAGAGGACGAUCAGGCACACUGGGACUGAGACACGGUCCAGACGCCUACGGGAGGCAGCAGUGGGGAAUUUGGGACAAUGGGCGCAAGCCUGAUCCCGCCAUACCGCGUGGGUGAAGGAGGCCUUCGGGUUGUCAAGCCCUUUUGUUGGGAAAGAAAAGCAGCCGGUUAAUACCCCGCUGUUCUGACGGUACCCAAAGAAUAAGCACCGGCUAACUUCGUG